Molecule: ribosomal RNA, 497 nt
Filed under: uncultured bacterium
Lineage: Bacteria
Description: partial 16S ribosomal RNA
Rfam family: Bacterial small subunit ribosomal RNA
Source: RNAcentral
GAUGAACGCUGGCGGCGUGCCUAAUACAUGCAAGUCGAGCGAACAGACGAGGAGCUUGCUCCUUUGACGUUAGCGGCGGACGGGUGAGUAACACGUGGGUAACCUACCUAUAAGACUGGGAUAACUUCGGGAAACCGGAGCUAAUACCGGAUAAUAUUUCGAACCGCAUGGUUCGAUAGUGAAAGAUGGCUUUGCUAUCACUUAUAGAUGGACCUGCGCCGUAUUAGCUAGUUGGUAAGGUAACGGCUUACCAAGGCAACGAUACGUAGCCGACCUGAGAGGGUGAUCGGCCACACUGGAACUGAGACACGGUCCAGACUCCUACGGGAGGCAGCAGUAGGGAAUCUUCCGCAAUGGGCGAAAGCCUGACGGAGCAACGCCGCGUGAGUGAUGAAGGUCUUCGGAUCGUAAAACUCUGUUAUUAGGGAAGAACAAACGUGUAGGUAACUGUGCACGUCUUGACGGUACCUAAUCAGAAAGCCACGGCUAACUACGUG